RNAcentral lists this ribosomal RNA (615 nucleotides) under uncultured bacterium. Its description in RNAcentral is "bacterial SSU rRNA". It matches the Rfam family "Bacterial small subunit ribosomal RNA", at positions 338 to 947 of the family's 1533-position model. The record is from RNAcentral.
CCUACGGGAGGCAGCAGUGGGGAAUUUUGGACAAUGGGCGCAAGCCUGAUCCAGCAAUGCCGCGUGAGUGAAGAAGGCCUUCGGGUUGUAAAGCUCUUUUGUCAGGGAAGAAACGGCUGAGGCUAAUAUCCUCGGCUAAUGACGGUACCUGAAGAAUAAGCACCGGCUAACUACGUGCCAGCAGCCGCGGUAAUACGUAGGGUGCAAGCGUUAAUCGGAAUUACUGGGCGUAAAGCGUGCGCAGGCGGUUUUGUAAGUCUGUCGUGAAAGCCCCGGGCUUAACCUGGGAAUUGCGAUGGAGACUGCAAGGCUUGAAUCUGGCAGAGGGGGGUAGAAUUCCACGUGUAGCAGUGAAAUGCGUAGAGAUGUGGAGGAACACCGAUGGCGAAGGCAGCCCCCUGGGUCAAGAUUGACGCUCAUGCACGAAAGCGUGGGGAGCAAACAGGAUUAGAUACCCUGGUAGUCCACGCCCUAAACGAUGUCUACUAGUUGUCGGGUUCUUAAUUGACUUGGUAACGCAGCUAACGCGUGAAGUAGACCGCCUGGGGAGUCGGUCGCAAGNUUAAAACUCAAAGGAUUGACGGCUGAGAGNGCGAGCGACGACGAGGGAGGAGG